UGACCCAACCUUGAGGCUCUGCACCCACAGGCCUGAGGCUUCGGACAGCCGCCAGUUCCGGAUCGCCCUUCUCUGCCUUCUAGCCUAAUCUGGACCACCAAGACUCGCACACUGCGCCCUCGUCUGUUUCCAGGCGAGCCCUACCCGCCCUCGCGCGACGCGUCGCCCGGCCUGGGAGGUUCCCUAGGCCGGCUAAAGUUCUAGCAAGGCUGCUGGGAUUUGGGCUACUUCUCCCAUGAGCCAUCACGGCCACGGACAAGCAGGCCCGAACUACAUUUCCCAGAGGGCAGCGGUCAAGCGGAUCUUCGGCUUCUCUUCCAUUUUCGCGCCAUUCUGGAGCUGUGCAAGGAUACCUACCUUGGAUACAUAAUUCCUACAUUAUGUAUACUUCUUUUAAGCCUGGACUGAUAUCAUGAUGAAUAAUGGUCUGGAUUCUCUGUUUUUCUCCAGUAGGGAAACCCGUAGGAGAACGGAUCAGUUUUUGCAGACAUCAAGCUAUGACAUAUAAAAAUCUUGAUAGUGAAACUUUUGAAUUAUACUGAUGAUAUUACUCAAGGAUUGUCCCAGAAAUGGACACUCCAUUUCUAAGCCAGAUGUGGUUGACUUAUUGGAGCAAGGAAAAGAGCCCUGGAUGAUUUUGAGGGAAGAAACACAGACAGUACACAGGUAAGGAGGGCAAAAGGAG
This is a long non-coding RNA of Acinonyx jubatus (cheetah), 685 nucleotides long. RefSeq lists it as uncharacterized. The transcript is spliced from 5 exons. Lineage: Eukaryota; Metazoa; Chordata; Mammalia; Carnivora; Felidae. The record is from RefSeq and is a predicted model, not a curated record.